AUGUGCAAAGCGUUCAACGUGGUUGGUAGGGCGUGCGGGGGCGGUGUGCGGUGGGUGGGGCUCACGGAGCACAGUUUGAAUUUAUGCUGCCUUGGGGGCGUGCCGAUGGCAGCUAUUGCUGCGCGCUGUGGGGACUUGGUGCAGGUUUUGACAAGCCUUGAGCUAAACUUGUGGUGCCAAAGACCUGGAUAUAUCGUGCCUUUUAUGGUUGUGGGUAUCUUGUCCAUUGCCUCUUCGUGCCUCAGUUUGCUCCUUUGUGAUAUGGCAGAGCAUAGUCCCUACCUGAGCACAUUGCAGAGAGUUCCGAAAUGGGCUGCAAGCGUACUGAAAAGGAGUGACGGUUUUCUAAGCCGCCUGUUUGUGAGUCCUCUGCCUUCCAGGUACACCUGGGAUGGUGCAAGUGCUCCCCUGGCUAUUGACCCAUCUUGCUUGGUACUGUGGCGGUUCCUGCUAUGACUGGAGACUGCAUGAGAACAAGACCAGUUACAAAGUCUGCAGGUCCGGUGGUACUACCGUGCUAUGGUAAGGCCACACCACUUAGGCCCUUUCCUGGUCUUUUUUUUUUUUUCUUUGUCUUUU
Molecule: long non-coding RNA, 579 nt
Filed under: Chinchilla lanigera (long-tailed chinchilla)
Lineage: Eukaryota; Metazoa; Chordata; Mammalia; Rodentia; Chinchillidae
Description: lncRNA (ENSCLAG00000022909.1)
Source: RNAcentral